ACGCUCGACACCUACGGGAGCAGCAGUCGGGAAUAUUGCGCAAUGGAGGAAACUCUGACGCAGUGACGCCGCGUAUAGGAAGAAGGUUUUCGGAUUGUAAACUAUUGUCGUUAGGGAAGAAAAAAGACAGUACCUAAGGAGGAAGCUCCGGCUAACUACGUGCCNNNCGCCGAGUAUNGNGGCGNGNGAGAG
Molecule: ribosomal RNA, 192 nt
Filed under: uncultured bacterium
Lineage: Bacteria
Description: partial 16S ribosomal RNA
Rfam family: Bacterial small subunit ribosomal RNA
Source: RNAcentral